GUAUAUAGCACGUUGGGAUAACAAAUUUAAUCUAUUAAUUGAAGCCAUAGCACAAAUAACAAAUGUUAUAAUCGAUCUUACUAUUAUUUAAACAUUUAAAAAAACGGUAUAUUUACUGUCUUGAUUAUUCUUUACGAAAUGUUAUUUUAUUAAGAAAAUAGACGGUCCACUAGGAUCCAUUAUUUCUGUAGUUGAUCAUGUACAAUGUAUAGACACCACGUGAUUCACGUACGAACCCCGAGGGACUUUGCCUCGCAUGCCAUUUGAACUGUGCAUGCGUGCAUGCUUGAAUGUGUUUACCCGAGAGCACAGAUGAUUAAAAAUCUAAUUUUUAAAAUUAAAAUGCUUUGUCUAGUCUCUAAUUAUAUUACUACUCCUCUAAUUAAUCCUUGAACAUAUAUAUUCAAAUACAGAUUGCUCUCUCGGGUAUAUUGGAAAUUAAGGGAGUGGAUAUUAAGCACAAGAGUGAGAUCAAGAGCGAUCAACAUGGUAUCUUGGUGUCGGCAAACAGCAUUGGUGUUUACCACGACCACUUCUACAUUUACCAUCUUGACCUUGACAUUGAUGGUGUUGCCAACUCUUUUGAGAAGACAAGUUUGAAGACUGUAAGAGUGACAGAUGGAAGUUCGAAGAGGAAAAGCUAUUGGACAACUGAGGUUGAAACUGCCAAGACUGAAAAUGAUGCAAAGAUAAUACUUGGGUUG
RNAcentral lists this long non-coding RNA (704 nucleotides) under Glycine max (soybean). Its description in RNAcentral is "long non-coding RNA (GMAX_LNC003800)". Lineage: Eukaryota; Viridiplantae; Streptophyta; Magnoliopsida; Fabales; Fabaceae. The record is from RNAcentral.